Molecule: transfer RNA, 61 nt
Filed under: Ictidomys tridecemlineatus (thirteen-lined ground squirrel)
Lineage: Eukaryota; Metazoa; Chordata; Mammalia; Rodentia; Sciuridae
Description: Spermophilus tridecemlineatus (thirteen-lined ground squirrel) tRNA
Rfam family: tRNA
About the family: Transfer RNA (tRNA) molecules are approximately 80 nucleotides in length. Their secondary structure includes four short double-helical elements and three loops (D, anti-codon, and T loops).
Source: Rfam by way of RNAcentral
UGUAGCUCAGUGGUAGAGCUCUGGCCUAGCACAUGAGAGGUUCUGAGUUCAAUUCUCAGCA